RNAcentral lists this transfer RNA (73 nucleotides) under Daphnia galeata. It matches the Rfam family "tRNA". From Rfam's summary of the family: Transfer RNA (tRNA) molecules are approximately 80 nucleotides in length. The record is from Rfam by way of RNAcentral. Lineage: Eukaryota; Metazoa; Arthropoda; Branchiopoda; Diplostraca; Daphniidae.
GUCAGGAUUGCCGAGCGGUCCAAGGCGCUGCGUUCAGGUCUUCUGGGCGAGGGUUCGAAUCCCUCUUCUGACA